This 73-nucleotide transfer RNA is filed under the name Cyanobacteria bacterium SW_9_44_58. Its description in RNAcentral is "tRNA-Arg". It matches the Rfam family "tRNA". From Rfam's summary of the family: Transfer RNA (tRNA) molecules are approximately 80 nucleotides in length. Their secondary structure includes four short double-helical elements and three loops (D, anti-codon, and T loops). The record is from RNAcentral. Lineage: Bacteria; Bacillati; Cyanobacteriota. RNAcentral also lists the same sequence under 1 other name.
GGGUGCGUAGCUCAGGGGAUAGAGCACCAGAUUCCGGUUCUGGGUGUCGAGGGUUCGAAUCCUUCCGUACCCG